UAGAAGUUUUGUAGUCCUGGCGUCAGGAUAAAGCGCUGCGGCGCACAUAAGACAUGCAAAGUCGAACGGACUUAACCAUUAGUUUACUAUUGGAGCGGUUAGUGGCGGACUGGUGAGUAACACGUAAGCAACCUGCCUAUCAGAGGGGAACAACAGUUAGAAAUGACUGCUAAUACUGCAUAUGCCUUAGUAACACAUGUUACAAAGGGAAAGAAGCAAUUCGCUGAUAGAUGGGCUUGCGUCUGAUUAGAUAGUUGGUGGGGUAACGGCCUACCAAGUCGACGAUCAGUAGCCGGACUGAGAGGUUGAACGGCCACAUUGGGACUGAGAUACGGCCCAGACUCCUACGGGAGGCAGCAGUCGGGAAUAUUGCGCAAUGGAGGAAACUCUGACGCAGUGACGCCGCGUGCGGGAAGAAGGUUUUCGGAUUAUAAACUGCUUUAGACAGGGAAGAAACAAGACAGUACCUGUAGAAUAAGCUCCGGCUAACUACGUG
Molecule: ribosomal RNA, 496 nt
Filed under: uncultured Eubacteriales bacterium
Lineage: Bacteria; Bacillati; Bacillota; Clostridia; Eubacteriales
Description: bacterial SSU rRNA
Rfam family: Bacterial small subunit ribosomal RNA
Source: RNAcentral